AGAAGGGCCAGAGACUCUCCGAGGCGGCGGCAGAGGCAGAAGAGCGGGGUCGGGGCCGGCUGACCAGGAACCUGGGCGAGCAGCGGCGGGGGCCCGAGGGAUUCUGAAGGAAGAUUUCCAUUAGGUAAUUUGUUUAAUCAGUGCAAGCGAAAUUAAGGGAAAAUGGAUGUAGAAAAUGAGCAGAUACUGAAUGUAAACCCUGCAGGGUAUUUUCCCUAAUUCUCCAUGGUGCUUCAAUAGCAUGUUAUUAUCAUAAAAAUGAACAGUUUUGUGGAAUAGAUGACCAAAUAUCCUGAUAACUUAAGUGACUCUCUCUUUUCCGGUGAUGAAGAAAAUGCUGGGACUGAGGAAAUAAAGAAUGAAAUAAAUGGAAAUUGGAUUUCAGCAUCCUCCAUUAACGAAGCUAGAAUUAAUGCCAAGGCAAAAAGGCGACUAAGGAAAAACUCAUCCCGGGACUCUGGCAGAGGCGAUUCGGUCAGCGACAAUGGGAGUGACGCCCUUAGAAGUGGAGUAACUGUGCCAACCAGUCCAAAGGGAAGGUUGCUGGAUAGGCGAUCCAGAUCUGGGAAAGGAAGGGGACUACCAAAGAAAGGUGGUGCAGGAGGCAAAGGUGUCUGGGGUACACCUGGACAGGUGUAUGAUGUGGAGGAGGUGGAUGUGAAAGAUCCUAACUAUGAUGAUGACCAGGAGAACUGUGUUUAUGAAACUGUAGUUUUGCCUUUGGAUGAAAGGGCAUUUGAGAAGACUUUAACACCAAUCAUACAGGAAUAUUUU
Molecule: small RNA, 774 nt
Filed under: Pan troglodytes (chimpanzee)
Lineage: Eukaryota; Metazoa; Chordata; Mammalia; Primates; Hominidae
Description: processed transcript
Source: RNAcentral